UACGUAGGGUGCAAGCGUUGUCCGGAAUUAUUGGGCGUAAAGAGCUCGUAGGCGGUUUGUCGCGUCGAAUGUGAAACCCGGGGCUCAACCCCGGGCCUGCAUUCGAUACGGGCAGACUAGAGUUCGGUAGGGGGAGUCUGGGAAUUCCUGGUGUAGCGGUGAAAAUGCGCAGAUAUCAAGGAGGAACACCGGUGGCGAAGGCGGGACUCUGGGCCGAUACUGACGCUGAGGAGCGAAAGCGUGGGGAGCAAACAGGA
This 257-nucleotide ribosomal RNA is filed under the name uncultured bacterium. RNAcentral describes it as "partial 16S ribosomal RNA". It matches the Rfam family "Bacterial small subunit ribosomal RNA", at positions 524 to 777 of the family's 1533-position model. The record is from RNAcentral.